AAAAUAAUCCUUUCUAUAACUGAGAAAACUCAUGCUUGUUUAAUGUUAUUUUAACUUGGGUUAUAAUUUUACUCAUAUUUUGGAUGCUGUAAGAAUCCAAGAGUAGUUAACAAUUGUGGUCUAUAUUUAGAUGAAUAUUGAGUCCUUGCUAUAACUCUGUUCUUGAAGUUGGAGCUGAAGAACCUUGUUAAAUGAUAUGGCAUUUCAGUGCUUUUAUUGUUUAGCUUCCUGGGAGCAGGUCCAAGGCCAUUCUGCUUUAUACCAAAUUCUUUAUUGUAGCAAGAAGAGGGAUUAUAAGUCUCUCGUUGAGUGAACUGAUAAAAUUAUUUGGAUGUCUUUUGUCGUAUUGUACUACUUUCCCAAAUCAUUGUUGUGCUUUCGAUUUUCACUGUAGAUAAUCCUCCAAAAGGAGCUUUGAAGAAACUGAUACAUGCUGCUAAGUUAAAUGCUUGUUUAAAAACCUUAGAAGGAGAAAGAAACCAAAUAUAUAUUCAGUUAUCUGAAGUUGAUAAGACAAAGGAAGAGCUUACAGAGCAUAUUAAAAAUCUUCAGACUGAACAAGCAUCUUUGCAGUCAGAAAAUACACAUUUUGAAAGUGAGAAUCAGAAGCUUCAACAGAAACUUAAAGUAAUGACUGAAUUAUAUCAAGAAAAUGAAAUGAAACUCCACAGGUAAUAAAAAUCAUGUUAACUUCAUUGAACAGCAAGUAAGAUAGCUUCAGAGAUAUAUGUUACAUAUUUAACUGUAGCAAUUAUUGAAAGUUCUCAAUUUAUGAUUGGAUUAUAUUUUAUCAAAUUAUUUUUAAGAAAGGUAUUUGAUCUGGAAACACUUUUUUUCAACAAACAAAAUAUUGUAAAUGAUGUUGGAAUUUCCAAGUUAGUCACAGAAUCCUCUUUAGCUUCUAAUAAGUAGUCAGCAAAUUACUACCUUAAAAUUCCUUAUACUGGCAGGGAAUCUGAGUGGACAGACACCCUUGAUUGAACUGCCCAUUAAUUCCAUCUCUGAUACAUGUAAAACUGAUUUCUCUGUUCUGUGCAACUUGCUCCUACCCAGGUGUUCCUUGUCUUAGUAAGUGGUAUUGUCAUUUACUUAGUUGCUCAGGGUGGCUCCUCAAGCCAUUUUUGACUUCUCUCUUUUCUAUCUCCUAUUUAUUCUGUCAUCAAAUCCUGUCAGCUUUCUUAUAGCCUGAAUCUGACCACUUUUCACCAUCUCCCAUACUGGUCUAGUCCAAGCCAUCAGCAGUUAAUAUCUGGUUUAUUAUAGUAGCCUUAUAAGUAGUCUCCCUCUUUACACCUUUUCUCCUGUACUAUGUUUUCUCUGCAACAUGCAAGAUGACCCUUAAAAUGUGAAUUGUGAGUAUGGUCACUCUCUGCUCAAAAUCCCUACGUGCCUUCCUAUCACUCUCAGAACUUAACCCAUAGCUUUUAUAUCUUAGCCUACAAGACUGUACCGCCUUGGACCCUUGGCCACUUCUUUAAUUUUAGCUUAUUUGUGUUCUUUUUCCUCUCAGUACCCUCCAUCCAACACUGGCCUUUUUGGUGAUCUUUAGCACGUUGACCUCAGGGUCUUUUGCACUUGCUCCUUUUACCUGGAAUGAUGUUUCCUUAUACAUUUGCAUGGCUCAGUUUUUCAUUUUAUUUGGUUCUGGGUUCAAUUGUUGCCUCAAAGAAUCCUUCCCUGUCUACUCUAACUAAAAUAAUAACUGCUACUCUUUAUCCCCCUAUUUUGCCUUGUAGCUCUUAUUGUCCUCUGGUGAUUGAUUGCUUUUAUUUCUUUUAUCUUCCUUUCGUUAAAUAUAAGCUGUGAGAGAGAAUUACUUUAUUUUCUUCACUUCUGUGUUCCCAGUGCCUAAACCUGUGUGAGACACAUGAUAGCUGUUCAGCACAUGUUUGUUGAAUAUAUGGACAAAUAUGUUCAGUGCCUUUAUAUAUUGAAGGAGUGUGUAUGUGUGUAUGCUGUUACCUAAAUGUCUAAAUACACAGAAGACCCUUGAGAUAUCUGAAGGCUUCAGAUUUUUAAAUAUUACCGAAGCACAUAUUUUUGUCAUCAUAAAGGGUAAUAAAAUGUAACAGACUUUCAGGUUCCUUUAGGCUCUUAAUGAAAGUUAUUAUAGUUGUUCUUUAUUAAUUACAGAAUCUGUAUUUGUGAAUUCACUUACUUGCCAAAAUAUAUCUGUAAAUCAGAUCAAUACAUGCAAAGCUUUUGCAGCCAUUCAUGGACAUAUUCAGAAUGAUGAAAAAUUUGAGUUGUCCAAUGUGCAUGUUGGCAGCUGAGGUUAAACAAGGUGAUGCUCUGCUUUGUUUCAGCUCUCAUUCUGUAAAGUGUCCUUUUUACGGUAUAUUUAGUACCUCAUUUUUUAUAUUUUUAUGCUUUUUGCUGGUGAUUUAGGUGUUUAAAAUGUACCCUAAGCAUACUGCUCAACUGUUAUGUAGUGUUUGAAGCACAAGAAGGUUGUGAUGUGUGUUACGGAGAAAAUACGUGUGUUAGAUAAACUUUGUUUAGGCAUGAAUUACAGUGCUUUUGGCUGUGAGUUCAAUGUUAAUAAAUUAACAAUAUAUAUAUUAAAUAAGAUACCUUUAAACAGAAGCACACUAAGACAAGGUUAUGUAUUGAUUAGUAGAUAAAAUUGUUGUGACCAGAGGCUAGCAGGAAGCUAAUUCUUUUUGAUUACCCUUAGGAGCAGUGAUCUGGUAUUUGCUAAUUCAUGAUGUGUAGUGACUUUAUGGAAUAUAACUAGCACAAAUAAUGAGAAUCUACUUGAUAUAUUUGGAAACUGGUAGAGAAUACUAAUGCUUCUUUGAGAUCAGGAUGCUGGGUAGUGCUUGGCUCAGUCACUGCUAAGUUCUAUAUCUCAGUCAUGAUUUGCAUUUCAGUUCACAAUUAAAAAGUUGUUAUUUGUUAUGGACCUUUGGCCAUUUCGGACUGCUCAGGGUAUGAAAGAGAAUAAACUUGACUAAAAGAAAGAGUUGCAGUAUAACUUUAGGGCUUUUGAGCCAGUAUACCUAGGAGUGGGCCCUUCUUUUUAGGUUAGAAUGAAACAUAUUAAAUUAAAACUUGGAUAUAAAAGUGAUUGUUUGAGGUGAAAGCAAUACUUUUGUGUAUAUCUUUUGAAUAAAAAAGGUAUAUGGUUGAUUACAGAAUUUCGAUGAGCAGUGUUUCAGAAAAAAAAAAAGACAUUUUCCUUAGAUUUUUAAGGCAAGGAUAGGAAGCUGAGUAGUGUCCUACUUGUGUGUGUUGUUCACAUGAUUUCAUUUGUUUGAAAUAUUUUAAAUUCCUAAAAUAUGUAUUUGCUUCUUACAUUUAAAUUAAACUACUUGCUACUGAAAUUCAGUGAAUUAUGCCUUUGGUACUUCUUCAGAGUAGAAUAUUGAAUUGAUAGUACCCAUAAAUUUAUAUUCUUGCUGCAUAUAGAAUAAGUUCAGUCUAGAUGUUGGCUUGAUGUUUUUCUUGACUGAUACAUUGUUUUACUACCAUUUUUCCAAAUUUAAUAAUGGAAAGAAAUGAAAUGGUAGGACUUAGAAGCUUGAUGUGUUACUUUUUUUUUUUUUUUGAGACAGAGU
Sapajus apella (tufted capuchin) is the source of this 3560-nucleotide long non-coding RNA. RefSeq lists it as uncharacterized. Lineage: Eukaryota; Metazoa; Chordata; Mammalia; Primates; Cebidae. The transcript has 3 exons. The record is from RefSeq and is a predicted model, not a curated record.